This 384-nucleotide unclassified non-coding RNA is filed under the name Hevea brasiliensis (rubber tree). The record is from RNAcentral. Lineage: Eukaryota; Viridiplantae; Streptophyta; Magnoliopsida; Malpighiales; Euphorbiaceae.
UUUGUGGGGUGUCAUGUACAGGUGAAGGAGAAGCUAUCAUACGUGGUACCCUAGCACGUGACGUGGCAGCAGUUAUGGAAUACAAGGAAUUGGGUCUUCAAGACGCAGUAAACUUUGUGAUUAAGAAGAGAUUGGAUAAAGGUUUCGCUGGGCUUAUUGCUGUGUCUAACAAAGGGGAAGUGGCUUUUGGGUUUAAUUGUAAUGGAAUGUUUAGAGGAUGUGCUACUGAAGAUGGAUUUAUGGAUGUUGGUAUUUGGUAAUACAGAUUUUAGAGAGACUUUUGAGUUUAUUAGGCUUUAAUUUUCAUUUAGCGAUGCUUGAUAAAUAAUUACUAGUACCAAUGUUUUAAGUUUAAUUUUGUAUUGGGCUUCAUAAAGUAAUGAA